This 422-nucleotide ribosomal RNA is filed under the name Verrucomicrobiota bacterium. RNAcentral's name for it is "Verrucomicrobia bacterium partial 16S ribosomal RNA". It matches the Rfam family "Bacterial small subunit ribosomal RNA", at positions 355 to 776 of the family's 1533-position model. The record is from RNAcentral. Lineage: Bacteria; Pseudomonadati; Verrucomicrobiota.
UGGGGAAUUUUGCACAAUGGGCGCAAGCCUGAUGCAGCGACGCCGCGUGAGGGAUGAAGGCCUUCGGGUUGUAAACCUUUUUCGCUCAUGGUCAAGCCGCAGCUUUGGGUUGUGGUGAGGGUAGUGGGUAAAGAAGCGCCGGCUAACUACGUGCCAGCAGCCGCGGUAAUACGUAGGGCGCGAGCGUUGUCCGGAUUUAUUGGGCUUAAAGGGCAUCUAGGCGGUAAGACAAGUUGAAGGUGAAAACCUGUGGCUCAACCAUAGGCUUGCCUACAAAACUGUUGAACUAGAGUACUGGAAAGGUGGGUGGAACUACACGAGUAGAGGUGAAAUUCGUAGAUAUGUGUAGGAAUGCCGAUGAUGAAGAUAACUCACUGGACAGAAACUGACGCUGAAGUGCGAAAGCUAGGGGAGCAAACAGG